RNAcentral lists this transfer RNA (76 nucleotides) under Methanocaldococcus indicus. RNAcentral describes it as "tRNA-Asn". It matches the Rfam family "tRNA". From Rfam's summary of the family: Transfer RNA (tRNA) molecules are approximately 80 nucleotides in length. Their secondary structure includes four short double-helical elements and three loops (D, anti-codon, and T loops). Lineage: Archaea; Methanobacteriati; Methanobacteriota; Methanococci; Methanococcales; Methanocaldococcaceae. The record is from RNAcentral. RNAcentral also lists the same sequence under 2 other names.
GCCCCCAUAGCUCAGUUGGUAGAGCGACGGACUGUUAAUCCGUAGGUCGCAGGUUCGAGUCCUGCUGGGGGCGCCA